GAUGAACGCUGGCGGCGUGCCUAACACAUGCAAGUCGAACGGAAUUUACAUGAAGCCUAGCGAUUGUAAAUUUAGUGGCGGACGGGUGAGUAACGCGUGGGUAACCUGCCUUGUACUGGGGGACAACAGUUGGAAACGACUGCUAAUACCGCAUAAGCGCACAGCUUCGCAUGAAGCAGUGUGAAAAACUCUGGUGGUACAAGAUGGACCCGCGUCUGAUUAGCUGGUUGGUGAGGUAACGGCCCACCAAGGCGACGAUCAGUAGCCGGCCUGAGAGGGUGAACGGCCACAUUGGGACUGAGACACGGCCCAAACUCCUACGGGAGGCAGCAGUGGGGAAUAUUGCACAAUGGGGGAAACCCUGAUGCAGCAACGCCGCGUGAGUGAAGAAGUAUUUCGGUAUGUAAAGCUCUAUCAGCAGGAAAGAAAAUGACGGUACCUGACUAAGAAGCCCCGGCUAACUACGUG
This 468-nucleotide ribosomal RNA is filed under the name uncultured bacterium. RNAcentral describes it as "bacterial SSU rRNA". It matches the Rfam family "Bacterial small subunit ribosomal RNA", at positions 28 to 507 of the family's 1533-position model. The record is from RNAcentral.